Molecule: long non-coding RNA, 957 nt
Organism: Suricata suricatta (meerkat)
Lineage: Eukaryota; Metazoa; Chordata; Mammalia; Carnivora; Herpestidae
Source: Ensembl
CGUCCCGCAAGUCCGUUUCUCUACAUCUGAGAAGGAAGGUGGGAAGUCAUUUGUUCUUAAUUUCAGGUCAGAGCGGCUCGAGGGUCAUGGAGGGUUCUACGUCGGGCAGAACAUGACGUCUUCCCCCUUCAGCCGUCUGGAUGAAAUGUCAGAAGAAGCUGGUAGCGUUUGGGCUACUGGCCCCCACCACCAAGGUCAUCCCCCGCUGCUUGCCUUGCUGUUGGGACGGUGCUGGUGUCACAGCAGAGUGCUCAUCUUGGGAUGGCUCGUGUCUCACUACCUCAUCCUUGUGACAAGAAGGUGGAUUUCUCAGCCGCUUCCUUCCCCAGCAGAUCCUGUCCAUAUAUCAGAUGACUCUACACUAACGCUCAACUUCAAACAUGGAGUAAGUGACCAUUGUCAGCAAGCAGGAGUAUAUCGGUUUUUCCUUUCUUCUGGCCUACUUCGAACUGUGGCAUCCAAGCCCCAAACGCCAGUGCGUUCAACAAGCAGCCGCCACAGCACGUCCCCUACGGAAGGUUAGGAAGACUGUGCUGGAGGCACUUCACCUGGAAAUGUCUGAACAUAAUGGACGGGGUUGGGAGGAAGUAGAAGGAAUUCAGGAAGAGUCCACCCAGAGAGGCUGUGAUGAAGUCCAAGAGCAAGUUUAAUGGGGUGACGGAACUGAGAAAGUGGAGCUUGGGGCCAUAAAGCGGAACUUGAGAGGAAAGGCGUGCUCGUAUUUUCUGAGUUUUGCAUUUCACGGAAAUUUUAUGGGUUUAGCAAACACAUAUCUAUGCUGAAGGUUCCAGUGAAAAUAAAUGCUGACUAUAUAGCCACCUCUUGAGCAAGAAUUGACUGGACAUCAUUAAGGUGGGGAGCAUUACCGUAAGUACUAUAUUCAAGCAGUGGAGCUGAAAGUCUGAAGUUUUCAUUCAGAAAAUAAUUAACUUAAAGAGAUAGCAUAGCAAACAGCCC